AGAACUGAUAUGAUACAAUUGAAUUGAUUCCUUAACAUCUCAUAAUGGGGAAUCACGUGAAAGUUUUUACAAAAAAAUUCAAAGAAAACAAAUGAAACAAACAAUUACAUGAAAUAUAGUACGUUCAUGUGAAGCAACCAAAGUUUUAGAAAUCUAAAAAAUAAGCCUAGCCUCGAAUGCAUCACCAGAAUAACCUUUAGAUACUUGACGAGCCUUUGGAAUCCUUUUCACACCAAACUUGUUAUCAGUGUUCAAUGCCCCUCCUACAUUACCAGCCAACUUCAGCAUAAAGUUCAUAUAAGUAUUCUUGAUUUUUGUCACCAUCUUAUCAUCCAUCUUAGCUUUGGACUUGUUCUGAUCUUCCAAUCCCUACGUGGACUUCUCAUCCGUAUGAUCUGCAUCUUCUUCCGUCGGCCGGGGGUGGUUGUGCCGUAGUCGAGGCGCCGGUAGCCCCGUCGGCUCAAGUACCUUGUUAUUUACAUGGUUUGAAAUGCUUGAACUUGGUGGAGGACGUCUGGUGAAGGAAGAUGAUGUUUAUGAUCACUUUAUGCGAAUGAAUAGAGAUUAUUGCUUGGAUUAAUUAUGCUUGUGUUAUAUAUAAGAGAAAAAAAAAAUAAAGAAAUUAGGGUUAAAUAUGUUUUUGAUCCCUAUAAAUAUACCAACUUUUUGUUUUAGUCCCUUUAAAUUUUCCUUCAACUUUUAGUCCCUAUAAAAUUUUCAAACACUACUUUUGGUCCCUAUUUUUAAGUUAAUUUUAGUAUUUUUUUUUUUAAUGAAAUUAUGGAGAAAUGUGUAGAAUAUUGUAAAAAUCUUUCCAAAAAAAAUUUAGAAUUUUUUAACAAAACAUAAAUUUAAUAUGAAUUUUUAACCAUAAAAAAUAUAAAAAUUCAUAUUAAACUCAUAUUUUGUUAAAAAAUUUUAAUUUUUUUUGGGAGAGAUUCUUAUAAUAUUAUGAAUUUUUCUGCAAAAUUUUAUUAAAAAAUAUGAGUUUACUUUAAAGGAGGGAUAAAAAAUGAAGAUGGAAAAUUUUAGAGGGAUUAAAAGUUGAAGGAAAAUUUUAGAGGGAUUAAAACGAAAAGUUGGUAUAUAUAUUCAUAAGGAUGAAAAUCAUAUUUAACCAAAAAAAAUUAUAGCACGUUUAAUUUUCUCAAAACAAAGAAAUCGGAUACACAGCGUAAUUGUGCAUUAUAAAAAGAUAUAAUAGAUCCAGAAGUCCUAGCUCAACUGGUAAAAUGCCGAAAUUGUUAGGCCGGAUGCCAUGACCGGGGUUCGAACUCCGGUACCUCCACUUAUGUGUGUGAGUUUAUAAUGGCUUUGCCAUUUCGUCUAUCUACCAAAAAAAAAAAAAAGAUAUAAUAGUAUGUGUGAGUGAAACAAGUAUGACCAAGACCAACCGUCUUUUCUUCCUUCCUUCCUAGAAAUGGCGAGUGGGAAAGUUAUCUCGCUUUAAUGCUAUCAACAAAUGAGAAACAACAAAUGAAUUUGCAUGCUUUUCUUCUAGAUGCUUUGACUUUCAAUUUUUUUUAUAUUUAUCAUUUAAAUAAUGAAUUGAUUGAGUUUAAAAUUUACUAUGAGUAUAAAUGAGAGAAUUGAACGGGGGUGUUCAUGUGUUGGGUGGGUCUCCCUACUCAACCAAAAAAUUGGAUUGGAUUGAAUUGAGUGAUUAAUACAAAUCCAUUUUGAUUAGUUUAAGUGAGUCACAUUAGGUAAGUGAGUCAACAAAGUUGCAACUUGUUAAACCAACAUAAAUAUAAUCUUACUAUAAACGAAUCGAGAUUAAAUUGCAUAGACUAAUCUCUUGCGUCUUAUGUGACCCAACGACAACAAACUCUUCCUAAGAGUUUUAACGUUGCUGCAUGUCUAAGGUUGGAUUCGAACUUAUUAAGACCUUAGUUAAGUUAGAAGAGACUUGUGUCUUUUGGGUAAUUCAUGAAUCAUUUUCGUCAUUUAUACAUAAGUCUAAUUUUUUUUUCCCCGAAUAGUUUAGUAGUUAGAAAUUAAUCCCUUUAAUGAAUAAGUGAGAAUCUAAGUUUCAAACUCCAACCUCUACAUACCGCAACAUUCUUGUGAAUUGAAUUAUGCUUACGGAGACGCAUAAAACUAACUCUAUUGGUAACUAUUUGCCAAAAUUUUAUAUAUAUAUAUAUAUAUAUAUAUAUAUAUAUAGUGAAAAAGAAUGUGUGAGAGAACCAUAUUUUAGUGAAAAAGAAUGUGUGAGAGAAUCUAUUUACUACUCUAAUGUAAUUCUUAUUAACUUGUCGACUGUUACAAUUUUCUCUCAAAGCACAAUUUCUUUCUUGGAUUAUUUUUGUUAACUUUCUAGUUCUCAUGUGAAAAAGGAGUCUAGGUAAUUUAGAGUCAAGUUCAAAGGUAAUAAAGUCCGAUAAAAAAUUAUGUCACCCAAAAAUUGAAGUCACAAACUUUUGGUUACACAAUAGAACAUUUGAUAAAACUGAUUUUUUAUAGUAAACUAAAAUAUCUAAGGUCAAUAUAAUUAAAAUCAACAUGUCUUUUCUUAAUAAAAUGAUAGAUAUAAUAUAAAAGCAACUACCACUUUUUAAUCACGCUUCCAAGCAUAUGGUGAUAGUAUAGUAUUGAAACAUGAUAUAAACAUAUUUUAGUACAGUUGAAAAACAUUAGAAAGAGAGUAAUCCAUCAACCCAUUUUGGAACAUAGAUAUAUCAGUGCCGUACAAAGUGAAUAAAUAUUUUUUUUGCCAACUUUGACCAUUCCAAAAUUCCACAAUCUAGACGUUUACAUAAUUAGAGUUGACAAAAAAAAAAAAUACUCUACCCUCAAUUACAAAUGAUCUUUCAUCAUACAAAAAUGUAUUUUUCUCAGUUAAAUCAAUAAAUCAUCAUAUUUCAUUUGAUUUAAUGGUAAGAUUUAUUGAUUCAGUGAUGAAAACUAACUUAUACAUCGAACAAUAAAAAUAUAAAAAUAUGAUACAGUUGAAUUAAGUAAUUAACACAUCCUAAUAGGGAAAUGGGAAUCACGUGAAUUUUUUUACAAAAAUUCUAAGAAAACAAAGAAACAAACAAUUACAUAGAAUAUAGUUCAUGUGAAGCCACCAAGGUCUUAGAAAUCUCAAAUAUAAGCCUAGCCUCAAACGCAUCACCAGAAUAACCUUUAGACACUUGACGAGCCUUUGGAAUCCGUUUCAUACCAAACUUGUUAUCAGUGUUUAAGGCCCCUCCUACAUUACCAGCCAACUUCAACAUAAAGUUCAUAUACGUAUUCUUGACUUUUGUCAACAAUUUCAAUGGUGAUCUUAUCAUCCAUCUUAGCUUUGGGCUUGUUCUGAUCUUCCAAUCCCUACGUGGACUUCUCAUCCGAAUUACCUGCAUCUUCUUUCGUCGGCCGGUG
This 3366-nucleotide long non-coding RNA is filed under the name Medicago truncatula (barrel medic). RNAcentral describes it as "long non-coding RNA (MTRU_LNC005377)". The record is from RNAcentral. Lineage: Eukaryota; Viridiplantae; Streptophyta; Magnoliopsida; Fabales; Fabaceae.